Molecule: ribosomal RNA, 440 nt
Filed under: Bacillus subtilis
Lineage: Bacteria; Bacillati; Bacillota; Bacilli; Caryophanales; Bacillaceae
Description: bacterial SSU rRNA
Rfam family: Bacterial small subunit ribosomal RNA
Source: RNAcentral
UGGGCAUUGUUGUGUCAGCUGUGUCGUGAGAUGUUGGGUUAAGUCCCGCAACGAGCGCAACCCUUGAUCUUAGUUGCCAGCAUUCAGUUGGGCACUCUAAGGUGACUGCCGGUGACAAACCGGAGGAAGGUGGGGAUGACGUCAAAUCAUCAUGCCCCUUAUGACCUGGGCUACACACGUGCUACAAUGGACAGAACAAAGGGCAGCGAAACCGCGAGGUUAAGCCAAUCCCACAAAUCUGUUCUCAGUUCGGAUCGCAGUCUGCAACUCGACUGCGUGAAGCUGGAAUCGCUAGUAAUCGCGGAUCAGCAUGCCGCGGUGAAUACGUUCCCGGGCCUUGUACACACCGCCCGUCACACCACGAGAGUUUGUAACACCCGAAGUCGGUGAGGUAACCUUUUAGGAGCCAGCCGCCGAAGGUGGACAGAUGAUUUGGGGGG